RNAcentral lists this ribosomal RNA (327 nucleotides) under uncultured eukaryote. RNAcentral's name for it is "partial 18S ribosomal RNA". It matches the Rfam family "Eukaryotic small subunit ribosomal RNA", at positions 1470 to 1796 of the family's 1831-position model. The record is from RNAcentral.
CCCUUAGGUGUUCUGGGCCGCACACGCGCUACACUGAAGGAGGCAGCGUGUACUCCUGGAUCGAAAGAUUUGGGUAACCCGCGAAUCUCCUUCGUGCUAGGGAUUGAGGUUUGCAAUUAUCCUUCAUGAACGAGGAAUUCCCAGUAAGUGCAAGUCAUAAGCUUGCGCUGACUACGUCCCUGCCCUUUGUACAUACCGCCCGUCGCUACUACCGAUUGAAUGAUUUAGUGAGGACUUCGGACUGGGACCGAUGCGGCUUUCGGGCUGCGUCGGUAUUCUGGAAAGAUGUCCAAACUGUAUCAUUUAGAGGAAGUAAAAGUCGUANCA